This 71-nucleotide non-coding RNA is filed under the name unclassified sequences. RNAcentral's name for it is "87-dG-II sequence". It matches the Rfam family "2dG-II purine riboswitch aptamer". From Rfam's summary of the family: Purine riboswitch variant that recognize 2'-deoxyguanosine The record is from Rfam by way of RNAcentral.
AGACCGUGUAGCCUUGCGAAUUUGGCGCAAGGGUAUCCACGAUCCCGCCGAACGGGAUGCGACCACGGGGA